This 658-nucleotide ribosomal RNA is filed under the name Klebsiella pneumoniae. Its description in RNAcentral is "partial 23S ribosomal RNA". It matches the Rfam family "Bacterial large subunit ribosomal RNA", at positions 14 to 716 of the family's 2925-position model. The record is from RNAcentral. Lineage: Bacteria; Pseudomonadati; Pseudomonadota; Gammaproteobacteria; Enterobacterales; Enterobacteriaceae.
AGCGUACACGGUGGAUGCCCUGGCAGUCAGAGGCGAUGAAGGACGUGCUAAUCUGCGAAAAGCGUCGGUAAGGUGAUAUGAACCGUUAUAACCGGCGAUGUCCGAAUGGGGAAACCCAGUGCAAUUCGUUGCACUAUCGUUAACUGAAUACAUAGGUUAACGAGGCGAACCGGGGGAACUGAAACAUCUAAGUACCCCGAGGAAAAGAAAUCAACCGAGAUUCCCCCAGUAGCGGCGAGCGAACGGGGAGCAGCCCAGAGUCUGAAUCAGCUUGUGUGUUAGUGGAACGGUCUGGAAAGUCCGACGGUACAGGGUGAUAGUCCCGUACACCAAAAUGCACAGGCUGUGAACUCGAAGAGUAGGGCGGGACACGUGGUAUCCUGUCUGAAUAUGGGGGGACCAUCCUCCAAGGCUAAAUACUCCUGACUGACCGAUAGUGAACCAGUACCGUGAGGGAAAGGCGAAAAGAACCCCGGCGAGGGGAGUGAAAAAGAACCUGAAACCGUGUACGUACAAGCAGUGGGAGCACCUUCGGGUGUGACUGCGUACCUUUUGUAUAAUGGGUCAGCGACUUAUAUUCUGUAGCAAGGUUAACCGUAUAGGGGAGCCGCAGGGAAACCGAGUCUUAACUGGGCGUUAAGUUGCAGGGUAUAGACCC